RNAcentral lists this ribosomal RNA (460 nucleotides) under uncultured bacterium. Its description in RNAcentral is "bacterial SSU rRNA". It matches the Rfam family "Bacterial small subunit ribosomal RNA", at positions 338 to 795 of the family's 1533-position model. The record is from RNAcentral.
CCUACGGGUGGCUGCAGUGAGGAAUAUUGGUCAAUGGGCGCAAGCCUGAACCAGCCAUGCCGCGUGCAGGAUGACGGUCCUAUGGAUUGUAAACUGCUUUUGCACAGGAAGAAACACUAUCUCGUGAGAUAGCUUGACGGUACUGUGAGAAUAAGGAUCGGCUAACUCCGUGCCAGCAGCCGCGGUAAUACGGAGGAUCCAAGCGUUAUCCGGAAUCAUUGGGUUUAAAGGGUCCGUAGGCGGUCUAAUAAGUCAGUGGUGAAAGCCCUACGCUCAACGUAGGAACGGCCAUUGAUACUGUUAGACUUGAAUUACUUGGAAGUAACUAGAAUAUGUAGUGUAGCGGUGAAAUGCUUAGAGAUUACAUGGAAUACCAAUUGCGAAGGCAGGUUACUACAAGUGGAUUGACGCUGAUGGACGAAAGCGUGGGUAGCGAACAGGAUUAGAUACCCAAGUAGUC